UACCAGCUCCAAGGAGGGGGGAGUGCC
Molecule: small RNA, 27 nt
Filed under: Bombyx mori (domestic silkworm)
Lineage: Eukaryota; Metazoa; Arthropoda; Insecta; Lepidoptera; Bombycidae
Description: ovarian small RNA-20576
Source: RNAcentral